UUUACCUUGCGCGCCCGAGGUGUCUGAUGGGUAAUCGCUCUUUAACCAGAGCAAGCCAGGAUCAGAGUCAAUGGGAAGUCGGUGCGUAUCGCCUGCGUUAUUAACGGCGAUGCAAUCCCGACACUGCCCCCGCAACGGUGUAUUUGCGCUGUGUUAAUCCCGCGUGAAUGAGUCCGAUACCAGCCUCAAACCGGAGCAUUUG
This 202-nucleotide non-coding RNA is filed under the name Cellvibrio sp. The record is from RNAcentral. Lineage: Bacteria; Pseudomonadati; Pseudomonadota; Gammaproteobacteria; Cellvibrionales; Cellvibrionaceae.